This 282-nucleotide ribosomal RNA is filed under the name uncultured diatom. RNAcentral describes it as "partial 18S ribosomal RNA". It matches the Rfam family "Eukaryotic small subunit ribosomal RNA", at positions 598 to 888 of the family's 1831-position model. Lineage: Eukaryota; Bacillariophyta. The record is from RNAcentral.
CGUAUAUUAAAGUUGUUGCAGUUAAAAAGCUCGUAGUUGGACCUGUGCAUGUCCCUAGGUGUCCAUAUUGUUUGGUACGUUCUAGGGCGUGCAUCCUUGGGUGGAACCUGUGUGGCAUUAGGUUGUCGUGCAGGGGAUGCUCAUCGUUUACUGUGAAAAAAUUAGAGUGUUCAAAGCAGGCUUAUGCCGUUGGAUAUAUUAGCAUGGAAUAAUAAGAUAGGACCUUGGUACUAUUUUGUUGGUUUGCGCACCGAGGUAAUGAUUAACAGGGACAGUUGGGGG